UACGGAGGGUGCGAGCGUUAAUCGGAAUUACUGGGCGUAAAGCGCGCGUAGGUGGCUUGAUAAGCCGGUUGUGAAAGCCCCGGGCUCAACCUGGGAACGGCAUCCGGAACUGUCAAGCUAGAGUGCAGGAGAGGAAGGUAGAAUUCCCGGUGUAGCGGUGAAAUGCGUAGAGAUCGGGAGGAAUACCAGUGGCGAAGGCGGCCUUCUGGACUGACACUGACACUGAGGCUCGAAAGCGUGGGUAGCAAACAGG
RNAcentral lists this ribosomal RNA (253 nucleotides) under uncultured microorganism. RNAcentral describes it as "partial 16S ribosomal RNA". It matches the Rfam family "Bacterial small subunit ribosomal RNA", at positions 524 to 776 of the family's 1533-position model. The record is from RNAcentral.